This 501-nucleotide ribosomal RNA is filed under the name uncultured Oscillibacter sp. RNAcentral describes it as "bacterial SSU rRNA". It matches the Rfam family "Bacterial small subunit ribosomal RNA", at positions 1 to 507 of the family's 1533-position model. Lineage: Bacteria; Bacillati; Bacillota; Clostridia; Eubacteriales; Oscillospiraceae. The record is from RNAcentral.
UAGUAGUUCGAUCCGUGCACGAGACACGCUGGCGGCGUGCUUAACACAUGCAAGUCGAACGGAGCACCUUCGAAAGAGACUUCGGUCAAUGGAAAAGAAUGCUUAGUGGCGGACGGGUGAGUAACGCGUGAGGAACCUGCCUUUCAGUGGGGGACAACAGUUGGAAACGACUGCUAAUACCGCAUAACGUACGGGUAUCGCAUGGUAUCUGUACCAAAGAUUUAUCGCUGAGAGAUGGCCUCGCGUCUGAUUAGCUAGUUGGUAGGGUAACGGCCUACCAAGGCGACGAUCAGUAGCCGGACUGAGAGGUUGGCCGGCCACAUUGGGACUGAGAUACGGCCCAGACUCCUACGGGAGGCAGCAGUGGGGAAUAUUGGGCAAUGGGCGAAAGCCUGACCCAGCAACGCCGCGUGAAGGAAGAAGGCUUUCGGGUUGCAAACUUCUUUUGACAGGGAAGAGCAGAAGACGGUACCUGUCGAAUAAGCCACGGCUAACUACGUG